This 576-nucleotide long non-coding RNA is filed under the name Androctonus crassicauda. Lineage: Eukaryota; Metazoa; Arthropoda; Arachnida; Scorpiones; Buthidae. The record is from RNAcentral.
GGAGAGGAUCCAUAAUGGAUUGAAAACAUUUCUUUUUAGAAUAAAUUUUAUCACUGCUUAUAGUGCUUGUAUUUAAUAUUUAAAAAAAAGUGUAGUCUUGAAUGUUUCUUUCUCCACAAUGACUUCUCCAUACUUUCUUUCCAAUGUUCAGCAGUCCACAAACAUUCCAUGUGCAAGUCUAAUAAUUUUCCAUAGUUUCUUUGUCCUUUCAAUAACAGAAAUUCCAUGUGAUGCCUGGUUGCCUACAUCCCAGUGGCCAGUAGCCCAUUUCAUAUUCUCAGGCCCAAAACCUGACAAAUGCCAAUUGCCGGUUGGAGCUUAUAGCUUAUCAUAACCAUAAUUCUGUCCAUCCAUGAUUCAUAAAUAUUCUUGGGAAGUCGAAAGGAUCUUAAUGCAGUGGUUUUUCCUUGCCUUCUACACUAAUAAAUUAGAAUAAGUAAUUUAUUCCAAAAAUUGAAAGCUUUUUCACCAAAACAAUUGGUCUUUUUUUAAUAAGACUGUUUGCUUUGACUGCUAAGCACUUAAGUGAUUAAUAUUUGGGGUUAUUUAUUAUUUGUAAUUAAUAAAUUUAUUGAU